This is a long non-coding RNA of Passer domesticus (house sparrow), 4301 nucleotides long. RefSeq lists it as uncharacterized. NCBI's taxonomy places the organism in Eukaryota, Metazoa, Chordata, Aves, Passeriformes, Passeridae. The transcript is spliced from 2 exons. The record is from RefSeq and is a predicted model, not a curated record.
UGUACUAAAGCUAUACUAAACUAUAGAGAGAAAGGAAUACUUCAGGAAAGGAAUGAAUAAUAAAAACCCGUGACAGACCAGAGUGUCGACACAGCUGGGCUAGGGUUGGUCAUUAAGUCAACACAAUUCACAUGGAACCAAUCAAAGGUGCACCUGCCAUAUUCCAUAGCAAUCAGAUAAUUAUUGUUUACGUUUCUUUUCUGAGGCUUCUCAGCAGAGAAAUCCUGGUGAAGGGAUUUUUCAGAAAAUAUCACAGGGACACAUAAGCAGAGCUCCAAGGGGAUAUUCCAGGACCUAGCAACUACUGGUAGUGAGCUGCAGCGUUGUUUCUAGGCAGCAUUCCCACACUCCUCCAUUUCCAUGGGAAGAAAACCCAGAUGAUUUCUGAAUUCUUACCACCUCCACACUUAUGACUCAUUCCUCAAGUCAGUCUCCUGAAGGAACAACCCAAGACACGUCAAGCAGAAACUGUGCUCAGCCAAAAGAGCAGGCACGUUGCUUCUGGUUCCCCUCCAGGUACUGAGCCUCAGAAGAGCAGAGAACCGCAUGAUGUUUCCUUUCUGAAAUGAAAAAGAUCUGUGCCACUGGCUUGGCCAAAAGCAAAUCUUUACACUGUUCUCUACUAGGACCGUUUCCCCUGUGGAUCACAGUGCUUUUCCAUGUCAUACCUUGAGGAUUCUGUUUUGGGGUCAUAUGAUAAUCUGAUAUAUACAUGGUUGUAAUUAUAUUUUUGACCAGUGAAUUAUUCAGCUGAUAUCAAAUACGUGUGAGAUUAUUUUAUCUGAUAUACCUUUCAAAGGUGUGGUCUAAUUCCUUUAUUUUUAUACAAUUGGCUGAUUGGACAAGAAAUUUUCAAAUCCGUACUUGUACAUCAACUACAAUUUUACUGGGUCAGCCAUAAUCUGUACUCCUUUCAGCUUCCAGAACAGAGUCCUUUCAAAAUGCUAAUGAGACACAGUUCAUAGGGAGUGUCCUCUCUUUGUACACCCUGGCAGUGGUAGGGUCAGAGUCACCAGCUGGACUCUGCGUUCUCGUGACAGAGGCAGACUGUCCUCUCUGACUCAUUGCUACAUCGUGGUGAGGAAGCUGACAAGGAGCUUCUUUUCCCUGUCUCUUUUUUUUUAUUACACUCUCUCACUGCUCUUGCAUUAAUGGCCUUGUUCAGUACAAGAUUUUUAUGCGUGUGUUUCGUUGUUGUAAGUACUACACGAUGAUGAGGAAGCAAAUCCUUUUUUUCAGGGGAUGUGUUGAACAAAUAUCGUUCAGGGGAUAAAAGCAGGUCAGCUAUUUCAGUAGGCAGCAUCUCCAGAUGUAAUUCCUCUAUGAAUUAUAUACACAGAUAUGAACUCACAGACACUUCUUAACUGAACUGGCAUUUGUAAAAGAAGAGGCAGCAAACUGAAGAAGCUAAUUUUCUGUGGAAAUGAUCCUACAAUGUGAGUUGUAGCUGUCUUGUACAGACUGACUUCAUUUAACUCCUGAAAAUAGGUCUUGUACACACUGACUUCAUUUAACUCCUGAAGAAAGGCUUACUUUGAUUUCAGUUGAUGUGGUUACUUUGGUUUCUAAAUCAUGUCAUAUAUACUGUAUUUAAAGGAUUCUUUUCAGAGACUGGAUGAAAGAAAAAUUGGCAGAGAGGUAUAAUUAUGAAUGGAUAAAUUGUUCUUUAUGAUGUGAGCUACAAAGUGUCACAAUGCUCUGAAUUAAUGAAAGUCUCCUGUAAUACAGGAGACAGUAAAAAUAGAAUCUCAAAUACAUUAAACAUAUGCCUUAGGAAUUCUUUAACAGAUAAAAUUAGUUUAUUUCAGUUAUGUAGUUCAGAAUAUCUGCAUAAACAGAAAUACAACCUACAAAAUGUACUAAUAGUUUAAAUAGUCAUUGUCAAAGAAGCAUAGAGAUGGGAACCAUAAUUGUGUCAUGUGCAUAUCUUUUUCAGCACCAGAUUGCAGUGUCUACUGAUGACAAUUGCCAUUUGGUGAACCUAGCUGUUUAUCUUGACUGAAGAGAUAACCAUCUCUUCCUCGGAAAGAAAUCAGAAAGUUUUCAUCAGACUUGAACAAUGAUGUAUAAGGAGUAAUUCUGGAAGAUAUUAUGUCCUGUGGGCACACUUUUCCCUUACAGUCUCUCAAACAGUUUAUUUUCAGUCUAAGAUUAUUUGCUCCUACUUUAUACCAGCAAUAUUGCAUUUUCUAGUCAAUGUGUCUAUGAAGGUUCAUGAAGGGAAGAAUUGCAGACUUCUAUUGCUCCAGUUAUUUCCCACCCAUAUAUUCAGGUAUCAAGAGCAAUGGAAAAGCAUUAACACAGUUUAGAAUUUCAGAUUUCUAGAGCUAGCAGUUCUUUGGCCUAUGCACAGAAAGGUCUGCAACAAAAUUAGGACCAGAUUUGGAGAGGAGACGCUGGAAGUCAAAGCAGAUGCAAACCCUCGGUCUACUAUUAUCCACAAUUACUGUGAGGGAUAAAGAGUUUAACUCAACUGUGUCCAUCUUGAUAUAAGGUAAUAUUUUUAGACAUAAAUGUUGUUUUGUCAUCUGUGGAUGCUAUCCCUAACUUUAAGGGAUUGGGAUGAGGCUGCAGUGGGGGCAAGAGUAGAAAAGAGUUGAAGCGGAAGUGGAAGAGGAAGGGAAUUAAGCAACCAAAGGUUGUUUGCAGUGUUUACUGGGAAAGUAAACAUGUUUUGUGAAGAGUACAACUAUGAAUAUUAACUAGAGGUCACACAGACAGAUUUAGAAAUGUAUUUGUGAGAUGGUAACUAGAAAAUCCUUAUUACAUUUUUUUUUUUUACUUUUACUGUGAUCAGUAAAGCUUCUUUUAUUUGUUUCCAUCAGCUUAUAUUAAGUCAUUGCUGAAGAAAAAGAAAACAAUCUGCUUUAUUUGCUUCAUAAAUAUAAUUAUAAACUUGCCAGAACCAGGUUAGCCACAAAUUAACAUGACAGCUACAUUCACUUUCACAUGGAUUAUUUAUGAAGAAACUUUGAUGGGCUGAAGCUACUGAUAGGACCAGGUGUUGCUGUGGAAGCCAAUAGAGUUGCUAUAGUGACAGGCCACAAGAAUGGUCUAAAAGGUAUGAUAAAUGACAAACAUCUUGCAAUUUGCAAGCCAGAAAAGCUUGGUAUUUAGGAAAUACUUGCUAGAUCUGCAAAUUUAUUUUCUCAUAUGGGAAAAGGCAGGUAUAUGGUAUUAGGGUUCACAUUAAGCUGAUAUACUCCCUUGGCUGUUUUAUGCCUAUAAACACUGUGCUGAUCUGAAUGUUUGUGGAGGAACUGAAUUACUCCCUUCUGCUGUGCAGAUAGAGGUAGUGUCACUGCCUUUCAUCUAAGCAUUAGACUUAACAAAUUUCCACAAGAUGACCCUCUCAGCACCUUUGGAUUUACCAGAGUAUGCUACCUGUGGUGGCACCAUAUUUUAAAUAUUUGAAGUUCAUUCACCUUUUUAGAUCUCUGAGCUGGCAUGGAAACUGGUAGCAGAUUUUCCAAAUAAAUAAUACAACAUAAACCUAUUUUAUACAUCAGUUAACACUUUCAGGCUAAAGAAAAUAAAACAGGGAAAAAAAAAACAACAACAAAAAAAAAGUCAACAAAAAACAUUUUCAGAAUCUAUAUAACCAUAGCAAAGAAAGCUUUGAAAUUUUAGUAAAGUUAGUAAAAUCUCACAGUUGUCUUUACAAUGUCAAAAUUUCCUUUGUGAUAAUUGUUGCAUUCAUUAAUAUUUACAUAUUAUAAGGUUUUUGUUUUUCUACUAUCUACUAAAUUGCAGGAAGUCAGAGCCAGUUUAUGAAUAUACUCACAAGGCUUAAGACAAGUGGGAAUUCAUAAAGAUAAGAAAUAACACUUUUGCAAUAGCUUAAUGUUGAAUAUUGGUGGCAAGUUAGUAUUAAACUUUGAAGCAACACCUGCAGUACUACACCUCCAUGCAGAAAGCUUGAAGUCAUGGCAUACUAGUCAAAUAAUACUUGAAUGCUGGGAAAGUCACAUUUCACAAUGCUAUUGGCUGCAAUGGACAUUUAAAGAGUCUGUUGCUGUUCUCAGAUGUAUAUUUCAGGUUCAAAUUAAUCUUUUAAAAUGCCUUCUGCAUUUUUGGUCUAAGCCACUUGUGUUACUUCUCCAUGUCCUUUUUCUCCUUUCCACGUCUUGUGGUACAAACACUAAAUUCAAGUAGAAAUGGCUACGAUUGCCUUCUUUCUCCAAAGCAAGAAACUUCUGUACUUCUGAACUUGUAAACACCAACACAUGAACAAGCACCGAAACUUGUAAAUUUCAGAAAUCAUCAUUCUUCAUGAAAAUAAAUUAUAGUUUGUUACUUGA